UUCUGCACAACAUAACUGCCCAGUGAUAUUGGGGACAUGUCUUUCCACCUUCAUAAUGUAAUAUGCAUUUCCAAAAGUGUUGUUCUUGAACCGUUGAUCGAGGAGAGUUCAGACCAAGAAGAGUGCAUCAUCAAACCAAAUGAUGUCCCAGGGGGUGCAAAAUCGUUUGAGAUGGUGGCAAGAUUCUGCUAUGAAGUGAAAAUAUGACUUUCUUUUGCAAAUGUUGUCCACCUAUGUUGUGCCUAUGAGCAUCUCCAGAUGACUGAAACGACAUCUGAUAACAACUUGAUUGCAUACACAGAAAUGUUUUUCUAA
This 315-nucleotide ribosomal RNA is filed under the name Triticum aestivum (bread wheat). RNAcentral describes it as "partial small subunit ribosomal RNA". Lineage: Eukaryota; Viridiplantae; Streptophyta; Magnoliopsida; Poales; Poaceae. The record is from RNAcentral.